UAGUUGUACGAUAUGAUGGCGCU
Molecule: non-coding RNA, 23 nt
Filed under: Cricetulus griseus (Chinese hamster)
Lineage: Eukaryota; Metazoa; Chordata; Mammalia; Rodentia; Cricetidae
Source: RNAcentral